Gasterosteus aculeatus aculeatus (three-spined stickleback) is the source of this 799-nucleotide long non-coding RNA. Lineage: Eukaryota; Metazoa; Chordata; Actinopteri; Perciformes; Gasterosteidae. The record is from Ensembl.
UUGUGGUGCUGCAGCAACCUUCAGGACUAAAAGACAGCAACGAGCAGUUAUCAGCAGUGAUCGCUGAGAAAACCAGCCAGUGCUGUUUGGGACAACAGCUCCCCGGGGAAGAGAGUAGGCGGAGAAAAAAAAUAAAGAAAAGGUCACAUCAUGCACACCUACUCUUCAACAUCGACACCGUCUUCAGCUUUUCAGCCUACCGCUGCUAGAAGGAUUAGGACCGAUCUAUAGUCAGCACACAGGAGAGAUAUGGUGCUCUGUUAGCAUUAAGUAAGAGAUCUUACUUUACUCAAGGCUUCACAAUGAACAACAGGACACCUUUUUCGACAGAUAUUCAAGAGUUUGGUGAUGAAUGUCUUUGAGUGGGAUACUGCAUGGUCAAGAAGUUCGAGGGCACAUUUCCACAAUGUGAACAAAUGGUUUUUAACAAAUAUAUUGUCCUCAGCUCUCAUUUAUAUACAAGACGUGCAGUAUAAUAAUGUCUCUCACACAUUCCAUUUCACAUAGUAUCAUUAUAAACCCACUUCGUCAAGAACCACGGCUAUCACAUGAGCACCUAUCAUAUGUAAAAUGUAUAAGACAACUCAAAUAUCAAAUAAAAGCAAUCAAGCUUGCAUGUUUUGUAAUGUAACAAAGCAACUGAAAGAAAUGUCCAUCCAUCCAUCUUCAAACCACUUAUCCUGCACACAGGGUCACAAGGGGCUGGAGUCCAUCCCAGCCAACUUCGGGCAAUAGACGUGGUUCACUCUGGAUUGGUCACCAGCCAAUCGCAGGGCUACACAGAGACAAACGACCAUUC